Hemicordylus capensis (graceful crag lizard) is the source of this 345-nucleotide long non-coding RNA. RefSeq lists it as uncharacterized. NCBI's taxonomy places the organism in Eukaryota, Metazoa, Chordata, Lepidosauria, Squamata, Cordylidae. The transcript is spliced from 3 exons. The record is from RefSeq and is a predicted model, not a curated record.
CUAGACUCCAGAUCAGAUUGUCUGGGAGUGCAGCAGGGGGAAUAGGGGCAAAUCGCAGGGCCACUGGACCCACGGAGCACGAUGAGCCCUUGCUGAUACCGGAAAACAUCAGCUCAUGAUAUUUAUGACUGUUAUGAGGAUGAGACUGAGGACCGCCCCACCCCACACCCAAUUAACAUGAGGACUGAGUUCAGUAAACAAAGAAAAUUCCUGGUCAGUCUCCUCUGACAGCCUCGGAGGACACAAUCUCAGGUCCUAGCAAUCUGAAAUGCUGUACAAAUAAAUAAAUUCUUCAUAAUACUAUAGAAAGAGAUCUGAGCCAAAAUAUCAUACACACCCCUUAUA